AGCAACUUCAUUAUGACCUUUGGUGGUCGCAUCUUGUAAACUCUUUUACAAGGGUUUCUUUUGUACUCAUUUUUCCUUGCCAUCUGAAAGUUAUGUCUAGCCUUGAUCUCUCUAGCUGCUCUUGAAGCUAAUUUGAUCUUAUUAUUUCCAUUGUAGAGAUCAAGAACAUCUGGUUAUCAUACCCUGCUUACUAGCCCUUUACACGUUUGAAGACUAUUAAUACAUUACCACUAGAUUUUCUUUAGUACAAGCUGAAUUAUUUCAAAUCCUUCAAUCUUACUGUUACUCAAAUAAACUAUUUAGCAACUUCUUAAUUAUUUUUGUGCCUCGGGCAUAGCCUCUUGUUUAUUUCUCCAAACUCAUUUAAAGUUAGAAACUUUAAAAAUAAUGUCUUUUUCUAAACAUGAUAGUCAUCACUGAUGAACAUGUAGAGAAAUUAGCUUAUACUCCAGAAAAAUUUUAAACUGUGACCUAGAAUAUGCUGUAUCAACUCCAGCAUAAUUCUUCUCAGUAUGUGAUUUAAAAAAAUUUCCUACUUCUAUUAUUUCCUCAGUUCCUAAUUCCAUAAGCUUCAAUCUGUACAGAGACUUAAUGAAUGGCACAUUUGAAGAAAAGAACUAUUUAGCUGAAAAUCUUAAAUGUUCAUACUAAUGUAUAAAUUUUAUAAUAUGCAAUCCUAGACAAUGGAAUAGAAAAAUUAUGCACACUCAUUAGAGGUUCGGGUUAAAAAAGAUACUUGAAUUAAAUAUAAAAGCAUUUCUGAGUAAAUCUCACUUUGUUUUUCUGCUCACUCCAAGUCUUACCUUUGAGAUUGUUCACAGAAUCCUGUACUUUAUAGAAUUUAGAACAGUUUGGAAUUUUGUAUUUCUUUGUGUAGUUAACAUUUAAUCUCCCACCAAACUUUAAGUUUCAUGAGGGUAAGUAGGGACCUUGUGCAUUUUUCUUAGAAUUAAUAUCUGGUAUAUAGUAGAUAAUCUAGAAAUGUUUAUUGUGUAAAUGAAUAAUAUGUAAUUUGCGAUUGAACCUGAAUACAUGUGCAAUUGCUACGUUCCUAAGUCUGAAAGCCCAUUUUAUUUAUUUGAUUAAAAAUAUGAUUAAAAGGAAAAUACUGCCUAGAGACAGGAUAUAUUAAAUCGUUACUGAAAUUACAUGUAUUAACUCAAAUUUAUUGACCUAUUGUCAAGAACAAAACAAAGACUUUAGAAUUGGGACAUAGCAGAGGUCUGUUUUGAUGAAUAUGUUGUUGGAACAGAGGUUUGGGAAGAUGGGAAAUCAGUGAUCCUUUCCUAUGUUAGAUUCUGUAGCAGGAAAAUAUAGAUAGCUAGCCAGAUACCUCAUCUGUGAAAUGCCUUCUCUCUUUGGAGUAAAUGGAUCUGGAGGGUUUUAGAGACGGGGUGAGCACUAUAGAGCUGGUGAAUACAGGUAAAACUUUGGUAUAAAAAUAUUGUAAGUGUGAAUGGCUUUUUGUCAAACAGUCAACACCAAGACUUUAAAAAUAAUUAUUCUAUAACAAUGUAUCUGCUUAUAGUAACUUUUCUAUGACAAAUAUCCAAAUGAAAAGUUCAAAAUCUGUAUCAGUAGAGAGUAAUUUUCUUCACUUUCUAAUCUUUUACAAGAAUUCUACACAUCUUUUCUUGUUUAUGUUUUCUUUCUACAGGCUAUAUAUGCAAUUUCCAGCAACGUCCUUAUAGUAACAAAAGUAUGCUGUAAAAAUUUUGUAAUAUAAGACAUAUUAAUAAAAACAACUAAAGAUAUGAGACCCUAGAUUC
This 1769-nucleotide long non-coding RNA is filed under the name Homo sapiens (human). RNAcentral describes it as "non-protein coding lnc-FOXG1-16:1". The record is from RNAcentral. Lineage: Eukaryota; Metazoa; Chordata; Mammalia; Primates; Hominidae.